This 1073-nucleotide long non-coding RNA is filed under the name Fukomys damarensis (Damara mole-rat). Its description in RNAcentral is "lncRNA (ENSFDAG00000026797.1)". The record is from RNAcentral. Lineage: Eukaryota; Metazoa; Chordata; Mammalia; Rodentia; Bathyergidae.
GCAGCUGGGUCCAUGUGAAUCACGCAGUCUUGCAGGCGUGAAAUGAUUGCACAGCAGUGAAAUGAUACGAGGCCAGCAGAAGGCUCCCAGGGAUGGCUCCAGGCUGAGCCCUGCAGGGCCCUCGGAGGGGUAGAGUCCACGCUGCGGCCGGCGGGUCUGCAUGGAGCCACCCUUGCCCUGUGGCGCUGCUGUGCCACCUGAGAGAGGAGGACACCUGAAUCUUGUCUUCCCCUCCAGUGAGGCCUUGAUUUCCCCCGGGAAGGAGAUGGACAGACCUUUGUCCCAGUGCUCCGGAGGCAGAGCUGGUGUGGACCCAGCCUUGUGUGCAGGGAGCACACUCGGGGAACUCAGAAAGCGGCCCACUUGUCACGGUGCAGCCAGUUUGUGGCCCUGUUUCAAGGAGAAAGCUGAAGGAAAGGCGGAGAACCCACCAGGCCUCCCAGCUAAUCACCCAGGCCUGAAAUCAGACCCAUCUGCCACCCAGCUCCUCAGUGCUGGAGGCCGCAGAGGAGACUGGCGCGAGUCCCCUCAGAGCCAGCCGCAAAGCUCAGCAGAGUCACGGGCACGUCACAGGAACCUGCGCCAGGCCGUCCAGCAUCAGGGGCAGGGUUGGGGACGAAAUCCCUGAAGACCCCCAGAACAACUUCAGCUGAGAAGAAACCAGAAGCUUCUACUGUACCCAGCAGUCCUGCAGCGCGGAACCCGAGCCCCUGGCCUGCCUCGUCCCGAGCGCCUCUGUUUGCCGCCCAGGCGGGCUGCCCCCUCACCGCCUCUGAUCUCCUCCCUCCGUGGCAGGGAUCCGCACCUUCGCCGGGAGCAGACAAAACAUCACGCACUGGAGCGGCCGCGCUGCUGGAAUUCCGUAGGGAGUGUAAGUGUGCGUUUUCCAGGUGCAGCGCCGCGCCAGCCUUCGGUCAUUCUGGGUAGCGAUCACCUCUCGGGUCUAGGUGAGUGUGAGAGCGGGCUGGAGCUCCGGGGAGCGGGCGCCGUGUAUGUUCCGGGCGCUGAGCACAGAGCCUGCUCGCGCUGAGACUUACUUGCAGGCCUGGGAGGACAUAUGAGCUUGGAUUUCU